GUAUCAGGUAAGAUGACCUUUACCUGUUUCUCAAUUCAGAGGUCAGAUAGAACAUGAUUAUUGGAGUUCAAAUGAUUAGUGAUUAGUCUCUGCAUAAUUAGGCUCACAAAACCCUAAUCGCUCCUAUCUGAU
Molecule: small nucleolar RNA, 132 nt
Organism: Sorex araneus (European shrew)
Lineage: Eukaryota; Metazoa; Chordata; Mammalia; Eulipotyphla; Soricidae
Gene: U8
Rfam family: U8 small nucleolar RNA
About the family: U8 is a member of the C/D class of snoRNA which contain the C (UGAUGA) and D (CUGA) box motifs. U8 is the RNA component of a small complex (the U8 snoRNP) which is required for accumulation of mature large subunit ribosomal RNAs, 5.8S and 28S rRNAs. U8 RNA has been identified in human, mouse, rat and Xenopus.
Source: Ensembl